Molecule: ribosomal RNA, 894 nt
Filed under: uncultured Bacillota bacterium
Lineage: Bacteria; Bacillati; Bacillota
Description: bacterial SSU rRNA
Rfam family: Bacterial small subunit ribosomal RNA
Source: RNAcentral
UCAGGACGAACGCUGGCGGCGUGCCUAACACAUGCAAGUCGAACGAAGCUUGAUUUCUGAUUUUUUCGGAAUGACGAAUGAUAUGACUGAGUGGCGGACGGGUGAGUAACGCGUGAGCAACCUGCCCUUCGGAACGGGAUAGUGUCUGGAAACGGACAGUAAUACCGUAUAACAUAUAUUGAUCGCAUGGUUGAUAUAUCAAAACUGAGGUGCCGAAGGAUGGGCUCGCGUCUGAUUAGAUAGUUGGUGGGGUAACGGCCUACCAAGUCGACGAUCAGUAGCUGGACUGAGAGGUUGAACGGCCACAUUGGGACUGAGACACGGCCCAGACUCCUACGGGAGGCAGCAGUGGGGAAUAUUGCACAAUGGGGGAAACCCUGAUGCAGCAACGCCGCGUGAAGGAAGACGGUUUUCGGAUUGUAAACUUCUGUUCUUAGUGAAGAAUAAUGACGGUAGCUAAGGAGCAAGCCACGGCUAACUACGUGCCAGCAGCCGCGGUAAUACGUAGGUGGCAAGCGUUGUCCGGAAUUACUGGGUGUAAAGGGAGCGUAGGCGGGAUGCCAAGUCAGCUGUGAAAACUAUGGGCUUAACUUGUAGACUGCAGUUGAAACUGGUAUUCUUGAGUGAAGUAGAGGUUGGCGGAAUUCCGAGUGUAGCGGUGAAAUGCGUAGAUAUUCGGAGGAACACCGGUGGCGAAGGCGGCCAACUGGGCUUUAACUGACGCUGAGGCUCGAAAGUGUGGGGAGCAAACAGGAUUAGAUACCCUGGUAGUCCACACUGUAAACGAUGAUAACUAGGUGUGGGGGGUCUGACCCCUUCCGUGCCGCAGCUAACGCAAUAAGUUAUCCACCUGGGGAGUACGACCGCAAGGUUGCAACUCAAAGGAAUUGACGG